AUCCGAUCUGUAAAAUCCGAAGUCCGUAAGAUCGAGGUCCGUAAAAUCGAGGUUUUACUGUAUUUUUAUUAUCAUCCAACAAAAUUUUAAGUUAUCAGCAUUCAAUAUAUUAAAUAAAGUUUACUGUAUUAUUAAAAAUACAGCGUAUCAUUUCAUUUUCUUUCGUUAUAUAAUAUAAAAGUGUUCAAUUUUGUUUUUAAUAUAAGCAAUUUUAUAAAAAUUUCCCUUUAAUCGUAUUUAUGUUUACUAAUACCGAAUUUCUAUUCGGUAUUAGUACAUAAAUAUCCAAAUUAAUCGAAAUUUUUCUAUAAUUCGGUUAACUGGCGUUACAGCAUUAUGAAAAAAAUUUUCUAAUUAGGCUACUGUUAUAACCCGCAAUAUUUGAUAUUCUUCAGUUCGAAUUUUUCAAUAAUUCACGCUCGAUUAGCUUUAGUUAUGUGGCCGAAUCUGAGGAAGGAUAUCUUUGGCGGCGGCCACUUCAGCACUGGUGGCAGACUGGAUUCAGCUCGGCCCUUCGAGCCUAGUCAAAAGAUACUACGUUGUGACGCCCUGACCAGAAGGAUCGAGACGCCCAGAAGCUAACUCCAGGAUAAACCAAGAUAUGUCGUCCUAGGCAUUAUCGUCGAUGUAUAGUCAUAUUGGAUUGCCUGCUUUAAUGUUAGAAAACCCAUCCGUCCGCCAUAUUGUUGACCAGUACUUUCGCCAACGUACAUUGGGCGAUAUAACAAAUCGAUUUUGUUUUAUUUUCCAGAUGUAUCUCAUUUAUUUUAGUAAGUAUGAUGGCCAGAUCCUAAUAACUGAUACUAUCCGGUUGACUCCAUCAUGGAUGUUGGCCAGCCUGUGAUGGCUCUAUAAGUGGCCGCCCCAGAUACAGUAGGCUACGUCCCCGGUGCGAUAUGGCGGCUUAACUAAUCUAACUUAACCUAACCUAAUAAUUGAUAAAUAGGUGUAGUAUCCAAAUAUGGAAUAUUAAAUCAUCGAGCCAUUUUAUUAUUGUAAUGUUUUAUAAAUAUACAUCUUCGAUAAUUUCGAAUGAAGUAUGCAAAAUAAUCCAAAUUUCGCAUUUUCCUAA
This 1072-nucleotide long non-coding RNA is filed under the name Androctonus crassicauda. Lineage: Eukaryota; Metazoa; Arthropoda; Arachnida; Scorpiones; Buthidae. The record is from RNAcentral.